Molecule: ribosomal RNA, 330 nt
Filed under: uncultured bacterium
Lineage: Bacteria
Description: partial 16S ribosomal RNA
Source: RNAcentral
UCCCGGGAACGUAUUCACCGCGCCGUGGCUGAUGCGCGAUUACUAGCGAAUCCAGCUUCACGAAGUCGAGUUGCAGACUCCGAUCCGAACUGAGAGUGGUUUUAGAGAUUAGCAUCAUGUUGCCAUGUAGCUGCCCUUUGUACCACCCAUUGUAACACGUGUGUCGCCCCGGACGUAAGGGCCGUGCUGAUUUGACGUCAUCCCCACCUUCCUCACAUCUUACGAUGGCAGUCUCAUUAGAGUCCCCAGCUUAACCUGAUGGCAACUAAUGAUGAGGGUUGCGCUCGUUAUGGCACUUAAGCCGACAUCUCACGACACGAGCUGACGACA